AAGAAGUGAGAAUGCCGGUGUGAGUAGCGAGAUGUAGGUGAGAAUCCUACACACCGAAAGCCCAAGGAUUCCAGGGGAAGGUUCGUCCGCCCUGGGUAAGUCGGGACCUAACGCGAGGCCGAAAGGCGUAGUAGAUGGAAAGCAGGCGAAAGAUUCCUGCACCCGUAUAUGGAGCGAAGGAGUGACGGAGACGGAUAGUGUGACCCUCUUAAUGGAUUGAGGGCGAAGCGAAGCGGCUGGUUACCAGGCAAAUCCGGUAACCAUAAGGCUAGAUCGUGACAGGUAAGCGAAAUCUUAGGAAAGUAGCGAAGCACAUGAUGACGGCUUCCAGGAAAAGCUUCUGGCAAUGCAUAUGCGGCCCGUACCAAAACCGACACAGGUGGGCAGGGAGAGAAUCCCGAGGUGAGCGAGAGAACUGUUGCCAAGGAACUCGGCAAAAUGACUCCGUAAGUUAGCGAGAAGGAGUGCUUAAGCAAUUAAGCCGCAGUGAAGAGGCCCAAGCGACUGUUUAACUAAAACACAGCUCUCUGCGAAGUCGCAAGACGAAGUAUAGGGGGUGACACCUGCCCGGUGCUGGAAGGUUAAGAGGAUCUGUUAAGAGCGAUCUGAAGCAGUGAUCCGAAGCCCCAGUGAACGGCGGCCGUAACAAUAACGGUCCUAAGGUAGCGAAAUUCCCUCAGGUAAGGUCUGACCCGCACGAAAGGUGUAACGAUUUGGGCGCUGUCUCGGCAGCAGACUCGGUGAGAUCUUAGUACCUGUGAAAAUGCAGGUUACCCGCAACUAGACGGAAAGACCCCAUGGAGCUUUACUGCAGCCUGAUAUUGAAUUCUGGUCAUACAUGUACAGGAUAGGUGGGAGACAAAGAGACGUGCACGCCAGUGUACGAGGAGUCGACGUUGGGAUACCACUCUUGUGUGACCGGGGUUCUAACCUGGUAUCGAGAACAGGUACGGGGAGAGUGUCAGGUGGGCAGUUUGACUGGGGCGGUCGCCUCCCAAAGAGUAACGGAGGCGCCCAAAGGUACGCUCAGAUUGGAUGGAAACCAAUCGUCGAGUGCAAUUGCAGAAGCGUGCUUGACUGUGAGACAGACAAGUCGAACAGGGACGAAAGUCGGGAAUAGUGAUCCGGCGGUGCCGAAUGGAAGGGCCGUCGCUCAACGGAUAAAAGCUACCCUGGGGAUAACAGGCUGAUCUCGCCCAAGAGUUCACAUCGACGGCGAGGUUUGGCACCUCGACGUCGGCUCAUCGCAUCCUGGAGCUGGAUUCGGUUCCAAGGGUUGGGCUGUCCGCCCAUUAAAGCGGUACGCGAGCUGGGUUCAGAACGUCGUGAGACAGUUCGGUCCCUAUCUGUUGUGGGCGAAGGAGAUCUGCGGAGAGCUGUCCUCAGUACGAGAGGACCGGGAUGGACCUACCGCUGGUGCACCGGUUGUUCCGCCAGGGGCAUAGCCGGGUAGCUAAGUAGGGAAAGGAUAAGCGCUGAAAGCAUCUAAGCACGAAGCCUACUCCAAGAUGAGAUCUCCCAUUCGCAAGAAGUAAGACCCCUUAAAGACGAUAAGGUAGAUAGGCCAGGGAUGGAAGUGCAGUGAUGUACGGAGUUGACUGGUACUAAUCGGUCGAGGACUUAAUCU
This 1627-nucleotide ribosomal RNA is filed under the name metagenome. RNAcentral's name for it is "bacterial LSU rRNA". It matches the Rfam family "Bacterial large subunit ribosomal RNA", at positions 1283 to 2925 of the family's 2925-position model. The record is from RNAcentral.